Molecule: ribosomal RNA, 470 nt
Filed under: uncultured bacterium
Lineage: Bacteria
Description: bacterial SSU rRNA
Rfam family: Bacterial small subunit ribosomal RNA
Source: RNAcentral
AGGGUUUGAUCAUGGCUCAGAACGAACGCUGGCGGCACGCCUAACACAUGCAAGUCGAGCGAGCCUUCGGGCAAGCGGCGGACGGGUUAGUAACGCGUGGGAACGUACCCUUCUCUAAGGAAUAGCCUCGGGAAACUGAGAGUAAUACCUUAUACGCCCUUCGGGGGAAAGAUUUAUCGGUGAAGGAUCGGCCCGCGUCUGAUUAGAUAGUUGGUGGGGUAAUGGCCUACCAAGUCUACGAUCAGUAGCUGGUUUGAGAGGAUGAUCAGCAACACUGGGACUGAGACACGGCCCAGACUCCUACGGGAGGCAGCAGUGGGGAAUCUUAGACAAUGGGCGAAAGCCUGAUCUAGCGAUGCCGCGUGAGUGAUGAAGGUCUUAGGAUCGUAAAGCUCUUUCGCCAGGGAUGAUAAUGACAGUACCUGGUAAAGAAACCCCGGCUAACUCCGUGCCAGCCGCCGCGGUAAUAC